GAGCUCUUUGGUGACAUAAUAGUAAAAACUCAUGGGAUGUGGUGUGCUCUGGACACAUAGGACAUGUGGAAAGUACGCACGCACACACCUAAACACCACGCAGCAUGCCUCUAAUAACGAGAGGGACAGCCGUGAUGCUCACAAACACACACACACACACACACACACACACACACACACACACACACACACACACACACACACACACGUGUGGAAUGGACUCUUAUUAGAGCAAACUGACCUUGUGUUUUGCUCAGCAGUAGGUGGAGUUCAUGUUACAGAAGUCUGUUUAUUAUCUUUACUACGUGGCUUUGCUGAGGUUUUUAUUUGCCUAAACAGUUUAAAACCAUCUAUCAGUGUCAUUCCACUUCACACUCAUGUAGUGAUUUGUGUUGGUCUCACUAAAACCCUGAACUGGAGUGUUUUGUGGGACGUCAUUUGCUUUCUGUUGCAGCAGAAACAUCUGCAGGAGAGCUCAUUGAGAACAUGGAACUGUCUCCAGGAGUCACAGAAGCUCAGCUUUGGCAGGCCCAGAAAAUAAAACAGGCCAUCAUCCUCCCUGACACGGGGGAGAGAAUCCUCCUGCCCUUUAGGAUGUCAGGUAGAACAGCUCAGUGUGGGAGUCUUGGGGGACGUGGGAUCUAGGGGCUUGUUAUGUGGUCCAACAUGGAGGCGUUGUUCGCCCUGGGAACUGCCAGGGCUCAACGGGACUCUUCAGGUUGUCUCAGGCCUGCAAAAGGUCACACUCAGCUGGGGGCUGAUUAAACCCUCUCUCCUGUGGUGACAGUCAGGUUUUACAGGUACGGAGGAGCUUGUAUUUAGGUCUCACAUUCAAAAUAUCCGAGGUUAGGAGAGAGGCUGCGGUGAUUAAUCUGUUGAAACAGCAACAAAUAUUGUAAGAUGUGAUUUAAAAAAAUCUAAUAUGUAGUUUUUCCCCCUUUCUUCCAUGAACAGACCAAUCUGUUCAUAAAUGAAAAACACGGAAACUCUGAGUUGAAUUUGAAAUGACUAAAUUAAUGUUUAAGAUAAAGAACAAAUACUCAAAUAAAACAGUAACAUGAAACUGUUAGAUAAUAUAAGAAGGAUGAUUUAACUGUAUGGAUAAUAAUUAUAGUAGGCAGGAUGAUGUCAGGAGCCCCAGCUCACAGCACUCCAGCUCCACUCCCUUAGCCAAGCCAUCUGCACCCUACUCUCCUUCACCUGCUCCACGUAAUCACCUCAUCCUGCUCACCUGCUCCACAGCUUUAUUAUCACCAGUCAGUUCCCUGCCAAAUUAUUGAAUGCUUUUGUCAGUAAAUUCUCCACCACUUUGAACCUCUGCUUUAACCAACAAUCCUGACCUUGUUUCUGACCAUCGACCUACCCAUGUGCACGCUCCCUGACUGGAUUCUCGCAGCUUCUGAUUUUCUGGACUCCUGACCACUCAGCUGGACUCUGCCUCUGGAUUACCCCUCCUGUUCUCGUCACGGAUCUCACCUGUUCUGACACCUGCCUGCUCCCUAUUCUGGGUAUCACAGCCUAGCCCUGACUCCAGUCAUAAACUUGUUCAAAUUGCCUUACUGUGUGUGUGUUGUCUUCACGGGUCCCCAUGUUCUGCUCCUAACAGAUGAUUAGUAUUCAGAACGCGCUUUGAUUGGCCACUAGAAUAUUUCAGCUCUGCCGGCAGCUCACUUUGUGCGCACAUGGCGAGUUUCUACUCUCCGUGAGGCGGAAAAUAUUAGAUCGGUUUGAUUUGUACCUCAGCGUCUCGUGGGACAGAAAACGCAGUGGAAAAUUAGGUGCACACAACGAGGUAUCUGCUGAGAAAACGGUCAUUCGAGGCAGUUUGCUCUCAUGUGCGGCAGGCUUACCAUUGACAUUGUUUGCUCUCCAAUGUUGAUGUUUGAUCUCUACAAACAACACAAGCCUGGAAAAGCUUCUGCUGUGUGGUGGAGUUGCUAAUGCUAACAGUUAGCUUCUACUAGCCAAGAUGUUCCCUGGACGCUAAACCAACAACAGCCUUCCCCAUUGUGAGUCAAGAUGGGUGAGUCCAUGAAUGUUAAGUGACAGUGUGACGGAUCGGUCAGGAUUUUUUUUAUCAGUUUCACCAUCUUCUAUCAGAAGCUAAUGCAGGAGAUAGGUGUAGGAGACUAAUUUCAUGUUCAGCCUGCUUGAAAAACUCAGUGACCGAUUUAUAACCAGAAAUAAUCAUUAAAAAUGUUUUUCAGUGAACCACACCUUUGAAAAUAGGAACUAGGAUGUUGGAAGUAUUUUAAAUCAGUUGCAUAGACAGUCAUACAGACUGUCUUUAAACAGGUUUCAUCCCAUUUGGCACUCCAGCGAUAAGGCUCCGUGUGUAGUAGACACACAAAUCCAAAGUUGACAGGUGUCACCAUUUUACUUGAUGUCAUUUUAUUUCUGCAGUGGCUGAACCAGAGUCACAAUGCCUGUGUGAGCAACUGCAACUGCAACGCCUCUAAGGGAAUUCAUCCAGGGAUGUGGGGCGACGGUGGCACAGGAGUUAAGUGCUCACCCCGUAAUCGGAAGGUUGCAGGUUCAAGCCCUGCUCAGUCUGUCGCUGUCAUUGUGUCCUUGGGCAAGACACUUAGCCCACGUUGCCUGCUGGUGGUGGUCGGAGGGACUGGUGGCGCCAGUGCUCGGCAGCCUCGCCUCUGUCAGUGCGCCCCAGGGCAGCUGUGGCUACAUCGUAGCUCAUCCCCACCAGUGUGUGAAUGGGUGAAUGACUGAUUGUGUUGUAAAGAGCCUUGGGGGGUUCCAGGACUCUAGAAGGCGCUAUAUCAAAUACAGGCCAUUUAUCAUGUGCAGGAGCGGUGACCAGUGCCGUGUCUAUUGCUGUGAGUUCUUUAGGUCAGCUGCUAUGAGGCGUGAUGUCAUCACAUAGCGUGUAAGCACGGCCAACAGAACCCACCUGGAAGAUCUGGGUUUCUGCAGACUCCAUCUAACACGUGGUUGGAUUUCUGUCUGUUUUCCCUAUUUGCUCUUUUGAUUGUUUUAAUUGUAAAUAUAAACAUUUAAAGAAAUUUCUUUGUUUGCAUGAAUAAAAUACAUUUUUGUUGGUUAUUAAUGGUUAACAUAAACUCUAAAGUCCAUUUUUGAGAAAAUAUAUCAACAUUUAGUUUUAAUCAUUUUGAUCGCCGAUUUCACACAUUAUUGUAAAAAAUACACCUAAUUGCAGUGUGUUUAAUUGACCCUGCAGGUAAAUAGUACAUUUGUACAUAAUUGGACUCAAAUCCUAUUAAUUAAUCAUUCGGAUCAAAAAUUACUUAAUUUAUUUCACUUUCAUUUAAAAUGAAGACAAACCCACUGAGAUUAAGAAAGUCUGAAUGCAACACAAGCUCAGCAGACGUCUCCACCUCCUUCAUAGAUCUUCUUAGACCAGAUCCUUUAUUUUCUGGUGACUCUGCAUCCAGAUCCAGUCGUGAGCUGCAGCUCUAAACCUUUUUUACUUGUCGUUUAACUGCCAGUCUAAAGAUAUGAAGGCAGGAGGUGAUUCAUUUAAAUGCCAUUAUGACCCUCAUAACGCCAUUUGAGGUUGUCUCCCGUCUGUGUCAUCAAGGACUUAAAUGUCCCAAGCGUACAACACAUCCUCACACACCCGCCUGAGCCGGCCUCCAUCAUGGACAAAGCUCUCAAACUGAGCCAAUUACUGGUCCUGCUGGGCCUCAUCCGGCUCAUGGCUUCAGGCCUGAUGGUGACAGCGAGCACAGAAAAACAUGGUAGGGAGUCUGGAGGGAGGAGCGCCAGGCCGAGAAGGGGCAGGAACCGUCCAAUUAAACGUCCGUCCUGGUGACAACCUCCAGCUGGGCUGUGGAGAGCUCCAGGCUGAAGUUUCACAUUUAACCUGAAAGGAUUAAAGACACCUUCACAAGUUAUGCCCCACAAACCGGCUUUACAUACUUCAUAAAACAACAUAAAAUACUAAUAUGGUGUUAGUAUGUACUUACUUUCUAUUUAUGGCAUGUCUCCAUCAAUUAUUAUAAAGUUAAUUUAAAAUAAAACGUUUUUUGGAUGAUUGUAUAUAAAUAUUUAAUUUGUUUAUAAUUAAAUUAAGAAUUUUGUUUCUUUAGCCAAAAUCCGUGUGUGUGUGUGUGUGUGUGUGUGUGUGUGUGUGUGUGUGUGUGUGUGUGUGUGUGUGUGUCAUCAGGUUGGUCUGAAUGUCUUAAUUCAGAGGGCGAGCCGUGUCGGCCCAACCACCGUUUGUCUCCUUUCUGCAGUGGGUGAGUUUAAAUCAUCGCUGUUGUUAAAAUAUUACAUACAUUUCAGAUCAGUGUCAGAUGUGACCACACUCUCUCUCUUUUGCAUGUUUCGGUCCUCUGUGUACAGUAUUCAGCUGAGAACAUGAACAGUGCCAGGCCUCUCGGAUGAAGCAGUCUGAUCAAACCCUCCGUUUCUGCUCUAAGAGCACAAUUAUCUGUGGGAAAGCAAAGAAGCGAGCCUUUGAUUGUUUCAUCCCACUCCUCACAGUCUGUUUUCAUCUCUGCGGGGUCAGAGUCGUGCUGAGAGCUUUGUCAGAUGUGUGUGGAGCCACCAAAGCUGAUUUUCAUGCCACCUCCCCGCAUCACAAUCACACCCAGGGGUAUUGACCCGUGUCCCAUAAUGCUCCGAGCUGCUGGCUCAUAAUUAAAUUGUUUGCUUGCCCCCCUUCCUUACCAUAGCAGCUCUUCUAAUUAAAUCAACAGGUUUCUGCAGCCCGCUCUUUGCCUGGUAAUUGGCUGCUCGGUGGAACUCUGCUGCUGCAAACAAAUGGGAUAAUUACUCCUAAAGUGGCGUCUAUGUCAGGGCCUCAUUUACCUGAUUUCAGUUUGGGCAUUGUUGUUGCUGCCGUUGUUUUGGAGGCCCAUGAAAAAAGUAAUUAAAAAGGCUAAUUGAAGCGAAGGAAAGCAAAGUGCUGUUUGAAUUUUCACCCACUUGAUUUUGUGUGGUUACUUAA
This is a long non-coding RNA of Nothobranchius furzeri (turquoise killifish), 4930 nucleotides long. RefSeq lists it as uncharacterized. NCBI's taxonomy places the organism in Eukaryota, Metazoa, Chordata, Actinopteri, Cyprinodontiformes, Nothobranchiidae. The record is from RefSeq and is a predicted model, not a curated record.